UUAGAAUAGGUUUAAAUUUCUAGAAAAGUUGAGAAUAGUCCAGGGAGUUUCCCUAGAUAUCAUACCCAGUUUCUCUCGUUGUUACUAUCUUGCAUGAAUGAGGUACUUUUUACCACAAUUAAUGGCCAAAGUUGAUACAUAUUAACUAAAAUCACCCUUCAUUCAGAUUUCCUUAGUUGACCCAGCAUCCUUCUUCCACUACAGAACACCAUGUUACACUGAGUUGUUGCAUCUCCUUAGGCUUCUCUUGGCUGUGACAAUUUCUUCGACUUUCCUUGUUUUUGAUGACCUUGACAGUUUUGAGGAACACUAGACAGGUAUUUUGUAGAAUGUCCCAACAUUGGGAUUUGCCUGGUGUUUUCUUCUAUGAUUAUUGGGAGAAGACCACAGAAGUAAAGUGCCACUUUCAUCACAUUCUAUCAGGAACACAUACUAUCAACAUGACGUCACGCUUCAUGUUGACCAUGAUCGUCUGACUGAGGCAGUGUUUGUUGGACGUCUCCACUGUGAAGUUUCUCCCCCUGCCGCCUCUCCACACUGUACGCUUUGAAAGGAAGUCACUGUGUGCAGCCCAUACUUAAGGCGGGGGGAAUUAUGCUCCACCUCCUUGGGGGUGGAGUAUUACAUAAAUGACCUGAAGUUCCACUGCACUCUGGAGAUGUGCCUAUUCUCUGCCAUUUACUUAUUCAUAUGUAUAUGAUUAAAUAGAUAUAUAAAUGUAAAUCAGUAUGGAGUCACGCAGAUUUAUUUUCUACUUGGGUUAUUUAUAAACCAAUACUACUUUGUUGCUCAAAUUGUUCCAGCUUUGGCCAUUGAAAGCUUUUUCAAGUGGUUACUGUGUCCCCUUGACCUGUGUGUUACUGUUUGUUCUUCUGAGCACGUUCUCACUUUCUGGCCCUGUGAAAUGCUCCUCCAGGCUCGUCUUGUACAUUCCCCGCCUGUCCUAGAAUCAGCCAUUUCUCCAGGAAGGCUGAGUUCCUUUUAUUAAAUGGUGUUAAGAACAGCUGGGGGCAGUGGCAGCAGCGUUGUGAUGUCAGGGCGUUGGGGCAGCUCCUGUGACAGACGGAGCUGGAGCGGUGGGGCAGUGGCAGAGUCUGGUGCCCGGGAGAGUGGAAUGAAUCUUACUUGUUGAAUAUCUUCUGGUUACUAGUUGGAAUCAUUUGUAAAAGAAUCAUUUUCCCCUGUGUGGAAGACACUUAGUGGCAUAUUUAAAUUAUAAGUCCAUGGAUCAAAAAGCUUUUUGAUUUCCCAAAGGAGGGACAUACCACUGUAUCAGAUGAGCUUGACAUGACAGCCAAGAUGGUGCUGUCCCAGAGACAACGAGAGAACUCAAUCGAGCUAUAGCAGAUUAUCUUCGUCCAAAUGGCUAUGAAGAGGCAUAUUCAGUUUUUAAAAAGGAAGCUGAAUUAGAUAUGAAUGAAGAAUUAAAGUAGGCUGGAGUUUUGGGGGAAAAAGGGACAUCUGUUAUUAGAUAACAAAAGAAGGUUAUGGAAUUAGAAUCAAAGUUAAAUUAAGCAAAAGAAGAAUUUAUGUCAGGUGGAUCUCUUGGUCAGAAACAAGACCCAAAAGAAUGGGUAUAUUCUGCCAGAAAAAUAUGCAUUGAGUGGUGACAGGAGUCCAGUCACUCGAGUCAUAUUCCAUCCUGUGUUCGAUGUUAUGGUCUCUGCUUCAGAGGAUGCUACAAUUAACAUGUGGGAUUAUGAGACUGGAGAUUUUGAACAAACUCUUAAAGGGAGGACAUACAGACUCUGUACAGGAUAUUUCAUUCGACCACAGUGGCAAGCUUCUGGAUUCCUGUUCUGCAGCUAUGACCAUUAAACUCUGGGAUUUUCGGGACUUUGAAUGCAUCAGAACCACGCACGGCCAAGACCACAAUGUUUCCUCAGUAGCCAUCAUGGCCAGGGGAGAUCAUACAGUGUCUGCCUCAAGGGAUGAAGCUAUAAAAAUGUGGGAAGGGCAAACUGGCUACUGUGUGAAGACGUUCACAGGACACAGAGAAUGGGUACGUAUGGUAUAACAAAAUCAAGAUGGCACUCUGAUAGCCAGCUGUUCCAACGACCAAACUGUGUGCGUAUGGGUCAUAGCAACAAAGCAAUGCAAGGCUGAGCUCCGAGAACAUGAGCAUGUGGUAGAAUGCAUUUCCUGGGCUCCAGAAAGCUCAUAUUCUUCCAUCUCUGAAGCAACAGGCUCUGAGACUAAAAGAAAAAGUGGUAAACCUGGGCCAUUCUUGCUGUCUGGAUCCAGAGACAAGACUAUGAAGAUAUGAGAUGUCAGUACUGGCAUGUGCCUUAUGACCCUCAUGAGUCAUGAUAACUGGGUGCGUGGAGUUCUGUUCAAUUCCAGGGGAAAGUUUAUUUUGAGUUGUGCUGAUGACAAGACCGUACGCCUAUGGGAUCACAAGAACAAGCAAUGCAUGAAGACCCUCACCACGCAUGAACACUUUGUUACCUCCUUGGAUUUCCACAAGAUGGCACCCUAUGUGGUCACUGGCCACGUAGAUCAAACAGUAAAAGUGUGGGAGUGCCGUUGAUUGCGUCUCCUUCAGCCCCUCCUCCCUCUUUUCCUCUGGAUGCACUCUGAUGAUACCAUGGUUACCCCAUUGAGCGCUGUUUAAAUAAAUAUUGUUCUUUCAUGUAAAUUA
Molecule: RNA transcript, 2641 nt
Organism: Cercocebus atys (sooty mangabey)
Lineage: Eukaryota; Metazoa; Chordata; Mammalia; Primates; Cercopithecidae
Gene name: platelet-activating factor acetylhydrolase IB subunit alpha-like
Exons: 1
Source: RefSeq, a predicted model, not a curated record